RNAcentral lists this ribosomal RNA (1545 nucleotides) under Pectobacterium parmentieri. RNAcentral describes it as "bacterial SSU rRNA". It matches the Rfam family "Bacterial small subunit ribosomal RNA". The record is from RNAcentral. Lineage: Bacteria; Pseudomonadati; Pseudomonadota; Gammaproteobacteria; Enterobacterales; Pectobacteriaceae.
AAAUUGAAGAGUUUGAUCAUGGCUCAGAUUGAACGCUGGCGGCAGGCCUAACACAUGCAAGUCGAGCGGUAGCACAGAAGAGCUUGCUCUUCGGGUGACGAGCGGCGGACGGGUGAGUAAUGUCUGGGAAACUGCCUGAUGGAGGGGGAUAACUACUGGAAACGGUAGCUAAUACCGCAUAACGUCUUCGGACCAAAGAGGGGGACCUUCGGGCCUCUUGCCAUCGGAUGUGCCCAGAUGGGAUUAGCUAGUAGGUGAGGUAAUGGCUCACCUAGGCGACGAUCCCUAGCUGGUCUGAGAGGAUGACCAGCCACACUGGAACUGAGACACGGUCCAGACUCCUACGGGAGGCAGCAGUGGGGAAUAUUGCACAAUGGGCGCAAGCCUGAUGCAGCCAUGCCGCGUGUGUGAAGAAGGCCUUCGGGUUGUAAAGCACUUUCAGCGGGGAGGAAGGCGAUAAGGUUAAUAACCUUGUCGAUUGACGUUACCCGCAGAAGAAGCACCGGCUAACUCCGUGCCAGCAGCCGCGGUAAUACGGAGGGUGCAAGCGUUAAUCGGAAUGACUGGGCGUAAAGCGCACGCAGGCGGUCUGUUAAGUUGGAUGUGAAAUCCCCGGGCUUAACCUGGGAACUGCAUUCAAAACUGACAGGCUAGAGUCUUGUAGAGGGGGGUAGAAUUCCAGGUGUAGCGGUGAAAUGCGUAGAGAUCUGGAGGAAUACCGGUGGCGAAGGCGGCCCCCUGGACAAAGACUGACGCUCAGGUGCGAAAGCGUGGGGAGCAAACAGGAUUAGAUACCCUGGUAGUCCACGCUGUAAACGAUGUCGACUUGGAGGUUGUGCCCUUGAGGCGUGGCUUCCGGAGCUAACGCGUUAAGUCGACCGCCUGGGGAGUACGGCCGCAAGGUUAAAACUCAAAUGAAUUGACGGGGGCCCGCACAAGCGGUGGAGCAUGUGGUUUAAUUCGAUGCAACGCGAAGAACCUUACCUACUCUUGACAUCCACAGAAUUUGGUAGAGAUACCUUAGUGCCUUCGGGAACUGUGAGACAGGUGCUGCAUGGCUGUCGUCAGCUCGUGUUGUGAAAUGUUGGGUUAAGUCCCGCAACGAGCGCAACCCUUAUCCUUUGUUGCCAGCACGUAAUGGUGGGAACUCAAAGGAGACUGCCGGUGAUAAACCGGAGGAAGGUGGGGAUGACGUCAAGUCAUCAUGGCCCUUACGAGUAGGGCUACACACGUGCUACAAUGGCGUAUACAAAGAGAAGCGACCUCGCGAGAGCAAGCGGACCUCAUAAAGUACGUCGUAGUCCGGAUUGGAGUCUGCAACUCGACUCCAUGAAGUCGGAAUCGCUAGUAAUCGUAGAUCAGAAUGCUACGGUGAAUACGUUCCCGGGCCUUGUACACACCGCCCGUCACACCAUGGGAGUGGGUUGCAAAAGAAGUAGGUAGCUUAACCUUCGGGAGGGCGCUUACCACUUUGUGAUUCAUGACUGGGGUGAAGUCGUAACAAGGUAACCGUAGGGGAACCUGCGGUUGGAUCACCUCCUUACC